UCCCCUAGUAACUGCGAGUGAAGCGGGAAGAGCUCAAAUUUGAAAUCUGGCGGUCCUCGGCCGCCCGAGUUGUAAUCUAGAGAAGUGCUACCCGCGCUGGACCGUGCAUAAGUCUCCUGGAACGGAGCGUCACAGAGGGUGAGAAUCCCGUCUUUGGCACGGACCCCCAGGGCUUUCGUGGUGCGCUCUCGUAGAGUCGAGUUGUUGGGAAUGCAGCUCAAAAUGGGUGGUAAACUCCAUCUAAAGCUAAAUAUCGGCGAGAGACCGAUAGCGAACAAGUACCGUGAGGGAAAGAUGAAAAGCACUUUGGAAAGAGAGUUAAACAGUACGUGAAAUUGUUGAAAGGGAAACGCUUGAAGUCAGUCGCGUCGGCCGGGGAUCAACCUUGCAACUGCGGGGCGCACUUCCCGGUCGACGGGUCAGCAUCAGUUUCGACCGCCGGAAAAAGGCCUGAGGAAUGUGGCACCUCCGGGUGUGUUAUAGCCUCUGGUCGUAUGCGGCGGUUGGGACUGAGGAACUCAGCGCGCCGAAAGGCCGGGUCUUUUCGACCACGUACCGCGCUUAGGAUGCUGGCAGAAUGGCUUUAAUCGACCCGUCUUGAAACACGGACCAAGGAGUCUAACAUGCCUGCGAGUGUUUGGGUGGAAAACCCAUGCGCGCAAUGAAAGUGAAAGUUGAGACCCUCGUCGAGGGGGGCAUCGACGCCCGGACCUGAGCUUCUGCGACGGAUCCGCGGUNGAGCAUGUAUGUUGGGACCCGAAAGAUGGUGAACUAUGCCUGAAUAGGGUGAAGCCAGAGGAAACUCUGGUGGAGGCUCGUAGCGAUUCUGACGUGCAAAUCGAUCGUCGAAUUUGGGUAUAGGGGCG
Molecule: ribosomal RNA, 866 nt
Filed under: Volvariella sp.
Lineage: Eukaryota; Fungi; Basidiomycota; Agaricomycetes; Agaricales; Pluteaceae
Description: partial large subunit ribosomal RNA
Rfam family: Eukaryotic large subunit ribosomal RNA
Source: RNAcentral